GUGUCAGGCUGGACAUGCAGGGCUUUUUGCCUCUGGGGGAUGAGGCUGGUCUGAGGAGGGGAGGUGAGGACCCUGAGCAUGUGCAUCCCUGCAGUGCUAGAAGGACAGCCAGCUGUCAGCAAGUGUCUGCACUGUGGUGGCAGUGGGGUUCAAUAGAAUCAAUAUGGGCUGGCUCCCUGGUGAAAGCAUCUGUACUAAGUGAUUCUGUCCUUCCUCCCUAG
Molecule: long non-coding RNA, 221 nt
Filed under: Homo sapiens (human)
Lineage: Eukaryota; Metazoa; Chordata; Mammalia; Primates; Hominidae
Description: HSALNT0015898
Source: RNAcentral